RNAcentral lists this ribosomal RNA (253 nucleotides) under uncultured bacterium. RNAcentral's name for it is "partial 16S ribosomal RNA". It matches the Rfam family "Bacterial small subunit ribosomal RNA", at positions 524 to 776 of the family's 1533-position model. The record is from RNAcentral.
UACGGAGGAUGCAAGCGUUAUCCGGAAUGAUUGGGCGUAAAGCGUCCGCAGGUGGCAAUGUAAGUCUGCUGUUAAAGAGUCUAGCUCAACUAGAUAAAAGCAGUGGAAACUACAUAGCUAGAGUACGUUCGGGGCAGAGGGAAUUCCUGGUGUAGCGGUGAAAUGCGUAGAGAUCAGGAAGAACACCAGUGGCGAAGGCGCUUUGCUAGGCCGUAACUGACACUGAGGGACGAAAGCUAGGGGAGCGAAUGGG